This 2928-nucleotide ribosomal RNA is filed under the name Brenneria goodwinii. RNAcentral describes it as "LSU rRNA". It matches the Rfam family "Bacterial large subunit ribosomal RNA". Lineage: Bacteria; Pseudomonadati; Pseudomonadota; Gammaproteobacteria; Enterobacterales; Pectobacteriaceae. The record is from RNAcentral.
GGUUAAGCGACUAAGCGUACACGGUGGAUGCCUAGGCAGUCAGAGGCGAUGAAGGGCGUGCUAAUCUGCGAAAAGCGUCGGUAAGGUGAUAUGAACCGUUACACCCGACGAUACCCGAAUGGGGAAACCCAGUGUGUUUCGACACAUUAUCAUCACAUGAAUACAUAGUGUGAUGAGGCGAACCGGGGGAACUGAAACAUCUCAGUACCCCGAGGAAAAGAAAUCAACCGAGAUUCCCCUAGUAGCGGCGAGCGAACGGGGAGGAGCCCAGAGUCUGCAUCAGCUUGUGUGUCAGUGGAAGCGUCUGGAAAGUCGCACAACAAAGGGUGAGAGUCCCGUACACGAAGAUGCACAGGUUGUGAGCUCGAUGAGUAGGGCGGGACACGAGAUAUCCUGUCUGAAGAUGGGGGGACCAUCCUCCAAGGCUAAAUACUCCUGACUGACCGAUAGUGAACCAGUACCGUGAGGGAAAGGCGAAAAGAACCCCGGCGAGGGGAGUGAAAUAGAACCUGAAACCGUGUACGUACAAGCAGUGGGAGCCUUGAUUAAUCAGGGUGACUGCGUACCUUUUGUAUAAUGGGUCAGCGACUUAUAUUCUGUAGCAAGGUUAACCGAAUAGGGGAGCCGCAGGGAAACCGAGUCUUAACUGAGCGUUAAGUUGCAGGGUAUAGACCCGAAACCCGGUGAUCUAGCCAUGGGCAGGUUGAAGGUUGGGUAACACUAACUGGAGGACCGAACCGACUAAUGUUGAAAAAUUAGCGGAUGACUUGUGGCUGGGGGUGAAAGGCCAAUCAAACCGGGAGAUAGCUGGUUCUCCCCGAAAGCUAUUUAGGUAGCGCCUCGUGAAUUCAUCUUCGGGGGUAGAGCACUGUUUCGACUAGGGGGUCAUCCCGACUUACCAACUCGAUGCAAACUGCGAAUACCGAAGAAUGUUAUCACGGGAGACACACGGCGGGUGCUAACGUCCGUCGUGAAGAGGGAAACAACCCAGACCGCCAGCUAAGGUCCCAAAGUCAUGGUUAAGUGGGAAACGAUGUGGGAAGGCCCAGACAGCCAGGAUGUUGGCUUAGAAGCAGCCAUCAUUUAAAGAAAGCGUAAUAGCUCACUGGUCGAGUCGGCCUGCGCGGAAGAUGUAACGGGGCUAAACCAUGCACCGAAGCUGCGGCAGCGACACUAUGUGUUGUUGGGUAGGGGAGCGUUCUGUAAGCCGUUGAAGGUGGCCUGUGAGGGCUGCUGGAGGUAUCAGAAGUGCGAAUGCUGACAUAAGUAACGAUAAUGCGGGUGAAAAACCCGCACGCCGGAAGACCAAGGGUUCCUGUCCAACGUUAAUCGGGGCAGGGUGAGUCGACCCCUAAGGCGAGGCCGAAAGGCGUAGUCGAUGGGAAACGGGUUAAUAUUCCCGUACUGGUUGUUACUGCGAAGGGGGGACGGAGAAAGCUAGGUUGGCCGGGCGACGGUUGUCCCGGUUUAAGCGUGCAGGUGGGUGUUUUUGGUAAAUCCGGAACACUGUUAACACUGAGGCGUGAUGACGAGUCACUACGGUGAUGAAGUAACCGAUGCUACGCUUCCAGGAAAAGCCUCUAAGCACCAGGUAACAAUCAAUCGUACCCCAAACCGACACAGGUGGUCAGGUAGAGAAUACUCAGGCGCUUGAGAGAACUCGGGUGAAGGAACUAGGCAAAAUGGUGCCGUAACUUCGGGAGAAGGCACGCUGGAUUUGGUGAAGUCCCUCGCGGACGGAGCUGAGACCAGUCGCAGAUACCAGCUGGCUGCAACUGUUUAAUAAAAACACAGCACUGUGCAAACACGAAAGUGGACGUAUACGGUGUGACGCCUGCCCGGUGCCGGAAGGUUAAUUGAUGGGGUAAGCCUUCGGGCGAAGCUCUUGAUCGAAGCCCCGGUAAACGGCGGCCGUAACUAUAACGGUCCUAAGGUAGCGAAAUUCCUUGUCGGGUAAGUUCCGACCUGCACGAAUGGCGUAAUGAUGGCCAGGCUGUCUCCACCCGAGACUCAGUGAAAUUGAACUCGCUGUGAAGAUGCAGUGUACCCGCGGCAAGACGGAAAGACCCCGUGAACCUUUACUAUAGCUUGACACUGAACCUUGAGCCUUGAUGUGUAGGAUAGGUGGGAGGCUUUGAAGCGUGGACGCCAGUCUGCGUGGAGCCAACCUUGAAAUACCACCCUUUAAUGUUUGAUGUUCUAACGUGGGCCCCUGAGCGGGGUUGCGGACAGUGUCUGGUGGGUAGUUUGACUGGGGCGGUCUCCUCCCAAAGAGUAACGGAGGAGCACGAAGGUUAGCUAAUCCUGGUCGGACAUCAGGAGGUUAGUGCAAAGGCAUAAGCUAGCUUGACUGCGAGAGUGACGGCUCGAGCAGGUGCGAAAGCAGGUCUUAGUGAUCCGGUGGUUCUGAAUGGAAGGGCCAUCGCUCAACGGAUAAAAGGUACUCCGGGGAUAACAGGCUGAUACCGCCCAAGAGUUCAUAUCGACGGCGGUGUUUGGCACCUCGAUGUCGGCUCAUCACAUCCUGGGGCUGAAGUAGGUCCCAAGGGUAUGGCUGUUCGCCAUUUAAAGUGGUACGCGAGCUGGGUUUAGAACGUCGUGAGACAGUUCGGUCCCUAUCUGCCGUGGGCGUUGGAAGAUUGAGAGGGGUUGCUCCUAGUACGAGAGGACCGGAGUGAACGCACCACUGGUGUACGGGUUGUGAUGCCAAUUGCAUUGCCCGGUAGCUAAGUGCGGAAGAGAUAACCGCUGAAAGCAUCUAAGCGGGAAACUUGCCUCGAGAUGAGUCUUCCCUGGGACUUUGAGUCCCCUGAAGGGCCGUUGAAGACGACGACGUAGAUAGGCCGGGUGUGUAAGCGCAGCGAUGCGUUGAGCUAACCGGUACUAAUGACCCGAGAGGCUUAACCUUACAACACCGAAGGUGUUUUA